AUGAGCCCAGCAGACUCCAUGCAAGACUGAUAAGAUAAAGUGUGCCAGGGGGGCACACUUUGUAUUGAUCUGCAUUGUUUCACAAUGGUAUAUAUAUGCCUGGAAGCUAGUUGUGUGCCUGGUGCAGAUGCUUCUACUAAGGCUCCUCAUACAAUAGACCUACAGGUCCAGGAAAAGAAAACACCCCACAUCUCCUGGUGACUUGUCCCUGCUUUCAUAUACCUAAUACAGCAAUUCAUCCAAAAGAUCUACAAGAAUAUCUACACUCAGAACCCAUAGGACAAGAAAAUAGAGACCUUUAAUACGACGUCUCUGAUGCGGAAGGCCAGUCCCUUACUCAUAUACUGCUUAGAUGUGGAGCAAAAUAAAUGCUUUUUGUAGUAUAUAUUUCCAGUAACAUAAUGCAUUUGCUCUUCUUUUUCAUGAGUCUACCCCUUCUACAGGAAUCCAUUAAAUACUUCUGAUUCCAGCAAUGUGAGGUUGUGGAAGAAUUAUUGGCUUGAUUUUCACUCUCCAUGCUGUGUGCAUGCCCAGAACACUGAGCAGUUCCAGUUGGGAUGCAAGAGCUGAACUAAGGCACCUUGUGAUCUGUACAGUUUAAUCUGACUUUCUCCUUUCUGUUGGACAAUGUAUUCAGUAAUGUUGGGGAUACUGUAACUGAGCUUAGAUAUAGAGAUCUGUGCAUCCACCUCUAACCUAUGAUCAUGCUGUAAAUAAAGGAUAUGGACUGUUUAUAGCAACAAUAUGGAGAAGACAAGUAUGAUGGCAAGAAGGUAGCUGGAGGAUGGCAUGAAAAUGUAGUAGCAGAGAUGCUUAAGAAGAUACAGCCAAAAAUGUUUAUUUUUAUUUGUGUCUGGAAUGAAGGGGGGAUGUCCACCCAAUCCAAUGGAGUGCAAAGGAUUUUCUACAAAGAAAAAAGUGGUGAACAACUCCACCACUAGCCUGCAGUAGUGCGCCACCUUUCAGGCUACAAUGGUUCUUUAGUAUCAGAGCAAAUAAAGGCUUAUAUGGAAGCAUUAUUUUUAACCAGCCCUUAUGCCAUGUUUCUAAGCUGUUGCUCACUGUAGUGCUAUAUUAGUUUUAAGUUCUGAAAAAACAAAAAUUGGAAAUUUUUAGAAAUACAAAAUCACUGUGUUUUGCACAAAACACUUCAAUGUACUUUCUCACCCACAAACGGUUUGGUACUUUCAUAAACUGUAAGCUGUAAUGACAAAUACAAUGGAAUAAUGCAUUUUACCUUUUGUUGGAUCAAAAAAAAAAAGUCCCUAAGCGUUUCCAAAAUGUGUCUCCAAGGGCUUCCCCUCACACCCAGAAAGCAUCCUGCGGCAUUCUACUAUACUGCUUGAUUAACAUACUGACAGUGGUUGUUUUUUUGCUCUGAAUUCUUAUAGCUUACCAGAGUCAGCCCUCCUCCAUCUCCUCAAUGUGCAAAAAAGUGUUCCAAGACAACAAAGGACAAGAUAUAUAGUUAAUGGCAAGCUUAAUCCAACACUUCAUUUUACUACUUGUUCCCAAAUAAAAUAUAUUGUUUGACUUAGUUUGCUUUUACAAAGAAGGCAUAUGGGCACCUUGAGCCUGGCAUAUGGAUUGCUUGUAUCUCAACAGCUUGUUUGUGUGCAUUAGGAACAAGUGUGCAUCUGUUAAACUUGACCAUAAAGUCACAAAAUGGGGCUGUUGUCAGUAAGAUUAGUGGGUCUGGUGUGUUAGGAGAAAAGGGACACAAAGUUGUUGGCUACAGGUAUUAUAUUAUCUGUAGGUAUACUAGCAGUGGGGACAUCUGCUACUUGUUGUGUAUUGCUGAAUAUUCGCUGAACAUAUGUCAUCACAAAUCACAGUAUCUAUUAAUAGUGCCUGUUCACAUUCUGGCCUGGGAACGGCACCACUCUCAGUAAAGGAAGCGCAACAGGUGUCUUGCCUGCACGUAAUGCACCUUUUCAGUCCUACUCUCCUUGGAUCCCACUCUAGUGGCAUCAAGAGUUUGUUCUCUAUUGUUUCUGGGGGAAAUUUUUGGAUGUGUAAAUAAAGACUGAGACCAUUUUGGAGAGUCCAGUGUCUUUCUCAUUCUCUUAUUGUCUCUGACAGCACAAGUGUUUAGCUGUGCACCCAAGGUGGCAUAUGGUCCCCACUCCACACUCUUUCCAGAAGGGCACCCAUGCUGCAUAGAGACAGCUUUUUUGAGAAUCUGUGCUCUAUUCUAUCUUAUUAUUUUACAGUUUAAGUGUGUGGGGGUGUGUUAUCUGCAAACUACCCUUCUCCAAAUUAAAGAGCACCAUGUGUUGAAAGCAGCAAGUAAGCAAGUGCCUGAUUGCAAAACCUGAUCAUAGCUGGCAGAUAAUACACAGGAUACAGUUCAGCUGGAUACCAUAUGUUUUCAAUAAAAUAAGACAAAUAGGACAGGGAGAUAUGGAUUGCAGUAAACCUGUAAACUGUGCAGGGCCACUCCUUGAAUAGGCCAUUUAAUGCCAAUUCUUUAGUGAAGAUGAACAGACAGGUGUGUGUAUAAACCUAACAGUUUUCUGCCUUAUAUAUUUUAUCAGGUUUGUGGUAAUUUUUUGCUUGCUAUGCUAACUAUGAGUAAACAUAAGCGUUAAGUCAUUAUGGAAAUACCAGAGUUAUCUGAGAGUAGUGUGAAGGUGAUUUAACAAUAAACUUGCCUUGUCUAGGAGCAGGUGAUACCUGCCCUAAGCCUGGUGAUUAAUGCUGUCCAGAGCACUCCACUUUGCAAUCUCUUGUAAUUAUUUAUUAAAUGAAAUCUAUUUAUUAUUAUUUUAGCAAACAGUGGUACCAGGUGGGGCUUUCUUCUCAUCUUCAGCUUUUGUUUGAAGGGUGAUUGAAGUGGGUAGUCCAGGCUUUGGAAACUCGCUCACCAGAUUUUUAGUCCAUCCAAUUGUUCAAGAAAAAAAAAAUCUGCCAAGGCUUGGCUAUUCAUUUUUUCAAUUGAUAUAAAUGCAAAAAAAAAAAGGCACAGAAAAUAAGAAAAGAAAGUAAAGUUCUGGCCAUACAGAGGAAUAAAGGCUUUUAUAACCAACUGUCCUUUCUCCCUUGAACUGUAGCCACUAAACAGAUGCCUCUAUUGGAAAGGUGGAUGCUGUCCCAGUCAUUCCUGAGCUACUUGGAAAUACAUGGAACUUAUGGAGGUUACCUCAAAGGCACAUCACCUGCUGAAAGAACAUACUGAGAAGCUCUUGGAAGGAGCUGUUUCAGCACC
Molecule: long non-coding RNA, 3208 nt
Organism: Hyla sarda
Lineage: Eukaryota; Metazoa; Chordata; Amphibia; Anura; Hylidae
Exons: 3
Source: RefSeq, a predicted model, not a curated record